AAUACAUGCAAGUCGAGCGGACCGACGGGAGCUUGCUCCCUUAGGUCAGCGGCGGACGGGUGAGUAACACGUGGGUAACCUGCCUGUAAGACUGGGAUAACUCCGGGAAACCGGGGCUAAUACCGGAUGCUUGAUUGAACCGCAUGGUUCAAUCAUAAAAGGUGGCUUUUAGCUACCACUUGCAGAUGGACCCGCGGCGCAUUAGCUAGUUGGUGAGGUAACGGCUCACCAAGGCGACGAUGCGUAGCCGACCUGAGAGGGUGAUCGGCCACACUGGGACUGAGACACGGCCCAGACUCCUACGGGAGGCAGCAGUAGGGAAUCUUCCGCAAUGGACGAAAGUCUGACGGAGCAACGCCGCGUGAGUGAUGAAGGUUUUCGGAUCGUAAAACUCUGUUGUUAGGGAAGAACAAGUACCGUUCGAAUAGGGCGGUACCUUGACGGUACCUAACCAGAAAGCCACGGCUAACUACGUGCCAGCAGCCGCGGUAAUACGUAGGUGGCAAGCGUUGUCCGGAAUUAUUGGGCGUAAAGCGCGCGCAGGCGGUUUCUUAAGUCUGAUGUGAAAGCCCCCGGCUCAACCGGGGAGGGUCAUUGGAAACUGGGGAACUUGAGUGCAGAAGAGGAGAGUGGAAUUCCACGUGUAGCGGUGAAAUGCGUAGAGACGUGGAGGAACACCAGUGGCGAAGGCGACUCUCUGGUCUGUAACUGACGCUGAGGCGCGAAAGCGUGGGGAGCGAACAGG
RNAcentral lists this ribosomal RNA (745 nucleotides) under uncultured Bacillus sp. RNAcentral's name for it is "bacterial SSU rRNA". It matches the Rfam family "Bacterial small subunit ribosomal RNA", at positions 50 to 776 of the family's 1533-position model. The record is from RNAcentral. Lineage: Bacteria; Bacillati; Bacillota; Bacilli; Caryophanales; Bacillaceae.